GAUGAAGAACGCAGCGAAAUGCGAUAAGUAAUGCGAAUUGCAGAAUUCCAGUGAGUCAUCGAAUCUUUGAACGCACAUUGCGCCCUUUGGUAUUCCGAAGGGCAUGCCUGUUCGAGCGUCAUUAUCACCCCUCAAGCCCUCGGCUUGGUGUUGGACGGUUUGGUGGAGGCCCCCUCGGGGGCUCCUGCCCCUCCCAAAGACAAUGACGGCGGCCUCGUUGGACCCCCGGUACACUGAGUUCUUCACGGGACACGUAUCGGACACAUGGGUUUACGGGACACGGUCUGCCUCCCCUCAGGGAGAAUCUUUCUAAGGUUGACCUCGGAUCAGGUAGGGAUACCCGCCGAACUUAAGCAUAUCAAUAAGCGGAGGA
RNAcentral lists this unclassified non-coding RNA (373 nucleotides) under soil metagenome. RNAcentral describes it as "partial contains 5.8S ribosomal RNA, internal transcribed spacer 2, and large subunit ribosomal RNA". The stretch from base 1 to 121 matches the Rfam family "5.8S ribosomal RNA", at positions 35 to 154 of the family's 154-position model. The record is from RNAcentral.